CGCGUAGGCGGCCUUCUAAGUCGAACGUGAAAUCCCUGGGCUCAACCCAGGAACUGCGUCCGAUACUGGAAGGCUUGAAUCCGGGAGAGGGAUGCGGAAUUCCAGGUGUAGCGGUGAAAUGCGUAGAUAUCUGGAGGAACACCGGUGGCGAAGGCGGCAUCCUGGACCGGUAUUGACGCUGAGGCGCGAAAGCCAGGGGAGCAAACG
Molecule: ribosomal RNA, 207 nt
Filed under: uncultured bacterium
Lineage: Bacteria
Description: partial 16S ribosomal RNA
Rfam family: Bacterial small subunit ribosomal RNA
Source: RNAcentral